ACACACACAUCACACAUAUCACCCACACACAUAUCACACACAUAUCACACGCACACACAUAUCACACACAUAAGACACACCCACACACACAUCAAGCACAUUCCACACACAUCAAACACACAUCACACAUACACACACUCACACAUACACACAGAUACAUCAUACACACAUACAGACACACACACACACAUACACAGACAAAGACACAUCACGCACACAUAGACACACACACACACACAUCACACACACACAAAUAUCACACACACAUCACACACACACACAUAUCACACACAUAUCACACACACACACACACACAUCACACACACAUCACACACACACACAUCACACACAACACACACACGUAUCACACAUACACACACACACAUCACACACACACAUCACAUCAUACACACACAUCACGCACACACACACUACACACACACACAUCAAACACGCGCAUCACACACACAUACACACAACACACACACGUAUCACAUAUACACACACAUAUCACACAGAAAUACACACAUAUAUCAUAUCACACAAACACAAACACACAGAAUACAGACACAUCACACACACACACAAAGACACACACACCCAAACACAUCACACACACAUCAGACACACAGAUACACACACACACACCACAUAUAUCACACACACAUAUAUCACACACACAAACACAUCACACACAUCACACACACAUCACACACACACAUAAGACACACCCACACACACAUCACACACAUCAAACACACAUCACACACAUCAAACACACAUCACACAUACACAUACACACACACACACACCUGACACACGCAUCACAUACACACACACACAUAUCACACACAGAGACACACACACACACAGAGACACACACACACAUCACAUACACACACAAACAUACACACACAUACACAUCACACACACAUACAUAUCACACUCAAAAACACACACACACACACACACACAAAGACACACACACAUCACACACACACACAUCACACACACACACAAAUCACACACACACACAUAUACACAAAAAUCACACACACAUCACACACACACACAUCACAUCACACACACACACACAGAGUUACACAUACACACAUGACACACACAGAGACAGGGACACGCAUAAUGUCACACAUAUUACAUACACACAGAUCACAUCACACACAAAUUUCACACAUACACAGAUACAAACACACACUGGACACACACAGAGACAGAGGCACGCAUCACAUCACACCCACACAUCACACCCACAACACACACACACACAUCACACCCACAACACACACACACACACAUACAUACACACACACAUACAUCACACACACACACACACACACACACGCACACACGCACACACGUCACCCACAUACACACACAUCACAUACACAUACACAUCACAUACACAUCACUCACACACACACACACACAUCACACACAUAUAUACACACAUCACACAUAUCACACACAUCACAUACAUCACACACACAUCACACACACAUAUAUCACACACACAUCACACACACACAUAUCACACACACACACACUUCAUGCGCACACACACACACACACAUCACACACACAUAUCACACAUACACACACGCAUCACACACACACACACACAUCACACACACACACACAUCACAUAUCACACACAUCACACACACACAAAUUACACACACACAUAUACACAAAAAUCACACACACACAUAUACACAAAAAUCACACACACAUCACACACACACACAUCACAUCACACACACACACAGAGAUACACACACACACACACAAGAAACACACAGAGACAGGGACACGCAUCAUGUCACACAUAUUAUGUAACACCCUUCUAAAAUACCCCCAAAUAUUUAAUUAAAAUAACAAUAUCUCAAUCAGAGUAAAUAUGCAAUUAAGGGUGUCACACAAUAUUUCACACCAUUCAACAAUAACUGUCAUGCUCUUUUAUUAAUUCAAAACAUAAGCAUUUUUUGCAUAAAACGCAGCGGAUAUAAAUCUCAUCAAUCAUGUAAAACAUGUAAUAUGUUGCAUGUAAAAUUAUUCAAUAAGGUAAAACAUCCCGUCCCGAUGUUACAUCUAUCAGAGCACGACCCACUAAGGAGACUACACUAGACUCCAAGCACUAGCUUCUACUCAAUCACUGCUCGUUGAUAAGAAAAUAAUAUAAUUAUUUAAAUUGAGUUAAUAAAUAUUUAUUAAUUUAAUUAAAUAAUGAUUAUUAUUUAUUAUUGGAAUAAUAAUUAUUGAAUAUUAUUGGGAUUAUUAAUUGGAUUCAUUUUUAUUGUUAUUAUUGGAAUAAAAGUAGAAAUCAGUAAAAGGUUCCAUUUGGUAAAAAGAGUUAUUUUCACGUGAAAAGGGAAAAGAGACAGAAAAGUGGAAAGGGCAAAGAAAGCAGAGAACAAGGUUGAAGGAAGGAAAAGCUGAAGCUCAGAGAUUUGCCGAUUAACAGGUAAGGGGGGUUUAUCGUCGAUUAAUGGGUAUUAUGGGAUAAUAUGUCAUGGGUAGUGAUAAACCAUUGAUUUACUCUGAUUGGAAUAAUUAUGCUGAAAAUUGUGAACUUUUGGGAUGAACGAAUCUGGAUUAAAAUUGAGGAAAUUCGUAGGAAUUAGAUGCAAUAGUGUUAGAAAUUGUGAGAUCGAAUAGGUUAUGAUUCGUGUUAGAUGAUAUGAACGAUUAUUGUGAAAAAUUGGACUGUGGAGUUUGAAUUGGAUAGAUCUCGUAGCAGAGAAAGCCAUAGCAGAUCUGGAAGUCUGGUUUCUGGUCAUACGCGUAUGGCACAGGCAAUACGCGUAUGAGAUGGUCUGGUACGCGUAUGGCACUAGGCAAUACGCGUAUGGAUGAGGAAGAUGAGUUUUGAACGUAGUUUGGUCUCUGUUGGUACGCGUAUGGGGAAGUGAUACGCGUAGCAUACGCGUAUGAGAUGGUGUUACGCGUAUGGGAUUUGGUCAGGAGAUGGGCCAUACGCGUAUGAGACUAGGCAAUACGCGUAUGGGCAGACUUGUGAUUUUCCUGAGCUGUUGUUGGCAGUUUUUAGCUGUUCAGCUGAGUAAUGUGAUUUAGCUGAUGUAUGAUAUUAGGGAUCAUUCCCGUUGUUUUGAGUAGUAUAGGUAUUAGUAGAGUGUGCUAAUACUGUGGUUGUUAUUUGGCAUGAUAUGAUAUGCUUAUGUGAUAAAAUACUGAUGAUGUGUGAUGGUAUGCAUGAUGCUGUGAAGUAUCGUUAUGUGUGCAUUUGUGAAUAGACGUUUUAUGGCUUAGAGUGUGAGCAUAUGUCUAUUCUUGAAUUGUUGUUGAUGAUGUAGCAUUGCUAGGUGAUUAGCGUGCAUAGUAGGCCUUUAUGGUGGUAGCUAAUUCCAUGGUGAGGAAUUAGUGAUGAGUUAUUGUGGAUGUUGUUGAUGUUUGUAUGCUAGGUGAUUAGCGUGCAUAGCAUGGCCCUUGGGGUGGUAGCUAAUCCAUGGUGAGGAAUUAGUGAUGUGAGUCACUAGGUCUCAAAUAAAUGGGACUAUGAGCUUGGUAGCCGUACCUGGAUUGGUCGGUGAGGUUUGAACUAUAUGUUCACGAAUAGUCGGUACCGCAUGCAUGGAGUCUCAUUGCAUUUGUAUUGUAUGGCGUAUAAUAUGAAUGGAUGUAUUCAAUAUUAUACGUGUGUUUGUGGUUGAGUUGAGUAUGAUUUUAGUUGAUGUUGCCGCUGCUGAAUGUAUGAUCUGAUUAGAGUGAUGAAUGUGUGAAAUUACUGGCAUUACAUGUUAAUUUAUAAUGCUUAUUAUAUCGAUUGAGAAAACUCCCCUUACAACUAUUUUUCAGGUNNNNNNNNNNNNNNNNNNNNNNNNNNNNNNNNNNNNNNNNNNNNNNNNNNNNNNNNNNNNNNAGAUGUGAUGUGUGCCUCGUGAUUCGCUGUGGUCGUCAUGUGAUGCGGUUUUAUUGGUUAUCGUGUGAAAUUUGUGUGCUUGAAGUGAUCUACUGUGUAUGUAAUAUGUAACACCCCGAUAAAAUAAGAUAAAUUAUUUAAAUUGAGUUAAUAAAUAUUUAUUAAUUUAAUUAAAUAUUGGAUUAUUAUUAUUAUUGGAAUAAUAAUUAUUGAUAUUAUUGGGUAUUAUUAUUGGAUUAUUUUUAUUGUUAUUAUUGGAAUAAAGAUGAUAAUCAACGUAAAAGUUCCAUUUGGUAAAAAGAGUUAUUUUCACAGUGAAAGGGAAAGAGACGAAAAGUGGAAAGGCAAAGAAAAGAGAGAACAAGGUUGAAGGAAGGAAAACGUGAAGCUAGAGAUUUGCCGGAUUAACUCAGGUAGGGGGGUUUAUCGUCGAUUAAUGGGUAUUAUGGGAUAAUAUGUCAUGGGUAGUGAUAAACCACUUGAUUUACUCUGAUUGGAAUAAUAUAUGCUGAAAAUUGCUGAACUUUUGGGAUGAACGAAUCUGGAUUAAAAUUGAGGAAAUUCGUAGGAAUUAGAUGCAAUAGUGUUAGAAAUUGUUGAGAUCGAAUAGGUUAUGAUUCGUGGUUAGAUGAUAUGACGAUUAUGUGAAAAAUUGGACUGUGGAAGGUUGAAUUGGAUAGAUCUCCGUAGCAGAGAAAGCCAUAGCAGAUCUGGAAGUCUGGUUUCUGGUCAUACGCGUAUGGCACUAGGCAAUACGCGUAUGAGAUGGUCUGGUACGCGUAUGGCACUAGGCAAUACGCGUAUGGAUGAGGAAGAUGAUGUUUUGAACGUAGUUUGGUCUCUGUUGGUACGCGUAUGGGGAAGUGAUACGCGUAGCAUCGCGUAUGAGAUGGUGUUACGCGUAUGGAUUUGGUCAGGAGAUGGGCCAUACGCGUAUGAGACUAGGCAAUACGCGUAUGGGCAGACUUGUGAUUUCCUGAGCUGUUGUUGUGCAGUUUUUAGCUGUUCAGCUGAGUAAUGUGAUUUAGCUGAUGUGAUGAUUAUUAGGGAUCAUUCCCCGUUGUUUUGAGUAGUAUAGGUAUUAGUAGAGUGUGCUAAUACUGUGUUGUUAUUUGGCAUGAUAUGAUAUGCUUAUGUGAUAAAAUACUGAUGAUGUGUGAUGGUAUGCAUGAUGCUUGUGUAUAAUUAUGUGUGCAUUUGUGAUUAGACUGUUUUAUGGCUUAGAGUGUGAGCAUAUGUCUAUUCUUGAAUUGUUGUUGAUGAUGUAGCAUUGCUAGGUGAUUAGCGUGCAUAGUAUGGCCUUUAUGUGGUAGCUAAUUCCAUGGUGAGGAAUUAGUGAUGAGUUAUUGUGGAUUGUUGUUGAUGUUUGUUGCUAGGUGAUUUAGCGUGCAUAGCAUGGCCCUUGGGUGGUAGCUAAUCCAUGGUGAGAAUUAGUGAUGUGAGUCACUAGGUCUCAAAUGAAUGGGACUAGUGAGCUUGGUAGCGUACCUGGAUUUGGUCGGUGAGGUUGAACUAUAUGUUCACAAUAGUCGGUACGCAUGCAUGGAGUCUCAUUGCAUUUGUAUUGUAUGGCGUAUAAUAUGAAUGGAUGUAUUCACAUAUUAUACGUGUGUUUGUGGUUGAGUUGAGUAUGAUUUUAGUUGAUGGUGCCGCUGCUGAAUGUAUGAUCUGAUUAGAGUGAUGAAUGUGUGAAAUUACUGGCAUUACAUGUUAAUUUAUAAUGCUUAUUAUAUCGAUUGAGAAACUCACCUUACAACUAUUUUCAGGUCGAGCAGUUGAGUAGAAGCUAGUGCUUGGAGUCUAGUGUGUCUCUUAGUGGGUCGUGCUCUGAUAGAUGUAACAUCGGGACGGGAUGUUUUACCUUAUUGAAUAAUUUACAUGCAACUUACAUGUUUUACAUGAUUGAUGAGAUUUAUAUCCGCUGCGUUUUAUGCAAAAAUGCUUAUGUUUUGAAUUAAUAAAAGAGCAUGACAGUUAUUGUUGAAUGGUGUGAAAUAUUGUGUGACACCCUUAAUUGCAUAUUUACUCUAUUGAGAAAGAGUAUAAAAAAAAUAAAUAUUUAAUUAAAAUAAACAAUAUCUCAAUCACGAGUAAAUAUGCAAUAUAAGGGUGUCACACAAUAUUUCACCACCAUUCAAAUAUAACUGUCUCGCUCUUUAUUAAUUCAAAACAUAAGAUUUUUCAUAAAACGAGCGGAUAUAAAUCUCAUCAAUUCAUUUGUUAAAAACAUGCUAACUGUUGCAUUGUAAUUUUCAAUAACGGUUAAACAUCCCGUACGAUUGCUUACAUCUAAAUCAAGCCACGGACCAUAGGGACUAAUAGAUCCAGCACUGCUUCUACUCAAUCACUGCUCAUUACCUGAAAAAUAGUUGUUAAGGGUGAGUUUCUCAAUCGAUUAUAAAAUGCUUAUAAAAUACAUUAAUGCCAAGUAAUUCACACAUUCAGCACUCUAAUCAGAUCAUACAUUCAGCGCGGAACAUCAACUAAAAAUCAUACUCAAACUCAACCACAAAACACCGUAUAUAUGGAUAAUCCAUAUAUUAUACGCAACAAUACAAAUGCAAUGAGACUCCAUGCAUGCCGGUACGACUAUUCGUGAACAUAUUAGUUCAACCUCACCGACCAAAUCCAGGUACGGUACCAAGCUACUAGUCCCAUUCAUUUGAACUUUAGUGACUCAUCCACUAUUCCUCACCAUUGGGGUAGCUACCACCCAAGGGCCCACUGCUAUGCCGCUAAUGCACUAGAUGCAAACGAUCUAACAACAAUCCCACAAUAAACUCAUCUAAUUCCUCCACCAUGGGAAUUAGCUACCACCAUCAAAGGCCAUUAUGCCAGCUAAUCAACCUGCCCAAUGCUAACAUUCAUCAACAACAAUUCAAGAUAGACAUAUGCUCACACUCUAGCCAUAAAGGCAUACAAGCACACAAACUGAACAUCAUAGCAUCUGCAUACCAUCAAUAUCAUCAGGUUUUUAUCACAUAAGCAUAUCAUAUCAUGCCAAAUACACAACCACAGUAUUACACAUCUACUAAUACCUAUAACUACUCAACAACGGGGAAUGAUCCCUAUAUAUCAUACAUCAGGCAAAAUUUACUCAGCUGAACAGCUAAAAAUGCACAACACAGCUCAGGAAAUCACAAGGUCUGCCCACCGUAUUGCCUAGUCUCAUACGCGUAUGGCCCAUUCUCCUGACCAACUCCAUCGCUGUAACACCAUUUCUUACGCGUAUGCUACGGUAUUUCAUUCCCCAUACGCGUUACCAUAAGAGAACCAAACUACGUUCAAAAACAUCCAUUCUUCCUAUCCAUAGCGUAUUGCCAGUGCCAUCACGCGUACCAGACCAAUCUUCAAUACGGUAUUGCCUAGUGCCAUACGGUAUGCAGAAACCAGACUCCAGAUCUGCUUAUGGCUUUUCUCUGUACGAGAUCUUAUCCAAUUCAACCAUUCACAGUCCAAUUUUUCCAAUAAUCGUUCAUAUACAUCUAACACGAACUCAAUAACCUAUUCGACUACCAAUUUCUAACACUAUUGCAUCUAAAUUCUACGAAUUUCCUUCAAUUUAAUCCAGAUUCGUUCAUCCCAAAGUUCACCAAUUUUCAGCAUAAUUAUUCCAAUCAGAGGUAAUCAUGCGUUUAUCACUACCAUGACAUAUAUAUCCCAUAAUACCCAUUAAUCGACGAUAAACCUUACCUUUAAUCGGCAAUCUCUGGAGCUUCAAGUUUUCCUUCCUUCAACCCUUGUUCUCUGGGUCUUUGCCCUUUCCACUUUUGACUGUCUCUUUUCCCUUUUCCGUGAAAAUAACCUCUUUUUACCAAAUGACUUUCUUACUGUUUCAACUUUUUUCCAUAAUAACAAUAAAAAUAAUCCAAUAAUAAUAAUCCAUAAUAUUUCCAAUAAUUAUUAUCAUAAUAAUAAAUUUCCAAUUAUUUAUAAUUAAUAAAUAAUUAUUAACUCAAUUUAAUAUUAUCUUAUUUUUAUCGGGUGUUACAUAUUACACAACCAUUUCAGAUCAACUUCACACACAAAAUUUUCACAAUACACAAAUACAACCCCACAUGACACACACGGACAGAGGCACACAUCAAUACACACACCUCACAUAAUACAUCACCCAAACACACACACACACAUUCACACACCACACACACACACACAACACACAUACACAUACACACAACACAUAUAUCACACACACACACACACACACAUCACACACACACACACACACACAUCACACACAGAACACCACACAGCACACAUAUCACACAAAAACACACCCAACACACACAUCAACACACCACACACAACAACACAUACACACACACACACAUCACACACAUAGACACACCACACACACACACACACACACACAUACAACAACAAAACACAUCAACACAUAACACACACACACACACCAACACACAAUAUCACCACAAUCAACACACAACACAUCAACACACAUCACACACACACACAUACACACAACACACACACAUCACACCACACAAAUCACACACACACAUCACAUCAACACCACAAUCACGCACACACACACUACACACAACACAUCAAACACGGCAUCACACACACACACACAACACACACCGUCACAUAUACACCACAUAUCACACACAAUACACAAUUUAUAUCACACAAACACAACACACGAUACGACACAUCACACACACAUCAUCACACACAGACACAACACACAUCACAACACACACACAAAGACACACACACCCAAACACAUCACACACACAUCAGACGCCAACUACACACACACACACACACUAUCACCACACACAUAUAUCACACAACAAACACAUCCACACAUCACACACAAUCACACACGCAUCACCACACACACCAAUAAGACACACCCACACACACAUCACCACAUCAAACACACAUCACACAACAAUUCUAAACACACAUCAACAUACACUACACACAAACACACACCACCUGACACACGCAUCACAUCACAACACAUAUCACCACAGAACACACCACCAGAGACACACACACACAUCACAUACACACAUUAAACAUACACACACCAUACACAUCACACACACAUACCAUAUCACACUCAAAACACGCACACACAAUACGACCACACACACACACAACACAAACCACAUCACACAUCACACACAACACAGGAGACGACACACCAAAUACAAUUCACAAAACAUCACACAAUAUCAAACACACACAUAACACAAAUAUUACGCACACACACACACACACAUUUUUUUAUAACAACACAUUACUCAACCACUACCCACAUCAACAUCACUUACAAUACAAUCACAUACACAAUCACUCAACUACACACCACACAUCACACACUAUUAAACACAAAUAUCACACACACCAUCACACCACAUAUAUCACACACACAUCACACACACACACACAUCACACACAACAUUAUCACACACACACACCACACAUUACACACACAUCAUGCGCACAGACACAUCACAAACAUCACAACACAUAAACACACACACAUAUCACCAUACACAACGCAGUCACACAUACACACAUAAUCACACACACACACAUCACACAUCACAUUUCUUUUUUUUUGGCAUCACAUCACACACACACAUCACAUACAUACAUCACACCCACAACACACACACACACACAUCACACCCACAACACACACACACACAUACAUACACACACACAUAUAUCACACACACACACACACACACAUCACACAUAUCACCCACACACAUAUCACACACAUAUCACACACACACACACAUAUCACACACAUAAGACACACCCACACACACAUCAAACACAUUCCACACACAUAUCACACACAUAUCUCACACACACACACAUAUCACACACAUAAGACACACCCACACACACAUCAAACACAUUCCACACACAUACACAGACAAAGACACAUCACACACACAUAGACACACACACACACACAUCACACACACACAAAUAUCACACACAUAUCACACACACACACACACAUCACACACACAUCACACACACACACAUCACACACAACACACACACGUAUCACACAUACACACACACAUCACACACACACAUCACAUCAUACACACACAUCACGCACACACACACUACACACACACACAUCAAACACGCGCAUCACACACACAUACACACAACACACACACGUAUCACAUAUACACACACAUAUCACACACAAAUACACACAUAUAUCAUAUCACACAAAUACAAACACACAGAAUACAGACACAUCACACACACAUCAUACUCACACACAGACACACACACACACAUCACACACACACACACAAAGACACACACACCCAAACACAUCACACACACAUCAGACGCACAGAUACACACACACACACCACACAUAUCACACACACACAUAUAUCACACACACAAACACAUCACACACAUCACACACACAUCACACACGCAUCACACACACACAUAAGACACACCCACACACACAUCACACACAUCAAACACACAUCACACACAUCAAACACACAUCACACAUACACAUACACACACACACACACACACCUGACACACGCAUCACAUACACACACACAUAUCACACACAGAGACACACACACACAGAGACACACACACACAUCACAUACACACAUAAACAUACACACACAUACACAUCACACACACAUACAUAUCACACUCAAAAACACGCACACACACAUACAGACACACACACACACACACACACAAACACACAUCACACAUCACACACACACAGAGACGCACACACAAAUACAUCACAAAAACAUCACACACAUAUCAAACACACACAUAUCACACAAAUAUUACGCACACACACACACACACACAUACACACACACAUACGUCACCCACAUACACACACAUCAUACAUCACAUACACAUACACAUCACAUACACAUCACUCACUCACACACACACAUCACACACAUAUAUACACACAUCACACAUAUCACACACACAUCACACACACAUAUAUCACACACACAUCACACACACACACACAUCACACACACACAUAUCACACACACACACACACACACACACAUUACACACACAUCAUGCGCACAGACACAUCACACACACACAUCACACACAUAACACACACACAUAUCACACAUACACACACGCAUCACACAUACACACAUAAAUCACACACACACACAUCACACAUCACACACAACACACACACGUAUCACACAUACAGACACACAUCACACACACACAUCACAUCAUACACACACGUCACGCACACACACACACACACACUAAACACGCGCAUCACACACACACACACAACACACACACGUAUCACAUAUACACACACAUAUCACACACAAAUACACACAAAUAUCAUAUCACACAAACACAAACACACAGAAUACAGACACAUCACACACACAUUAUACUCACACACACAUACACACACACACACAUCACACACACACACACAAAGACACACACACCCAAACACAUCACACACACAUCAGACGCACAGACACACACACACACACCACACAUAUCACACACACACAUAUAUCACACACACAAACACAUCACACAUAUCACAC
This 11511-nucleotide long non-coding RNA is filed under the name Lathyrus oleraceus (garden pea). Its description in RNAcentral is "Pisum sativum (pea) long non-coding RNA (PSAT_LNC002043)". Lineage: Eukaryota; Viridiplantae; Streptophyta; Magnoliopsida; Fabales; Fabaceae. The record is from RNAcentral.